This 411-nucleotide ribosomal RNA is filed under the name Triticum aestivum (bread wheat). RNAcentral's name for it is "partial small subunit ribosomal RNA". Lineage: Eukaryota; Viridiplantae; Streptophyta; Magnoliopsida; Poales; Poaceae. The record is from RNAcentral.
AUGACUAGGGAUAACCUUAGGAAGAGACACAUCAUCAAACCCCUUGAUUGUGUUUACUGCUUAGAACAAGAGUCUUGUUCUCACCUAUUUUUUGAAUGUAUAGUUGCUAAACAUCUCUAGGCCCACAUUGAGGAAUAUUUCUCUAGUCAGAUUGGCUCAUCCUUCGAAUCUGUCGCCAGAUUCUGGUUUGCUACCAAAAAGUGCUCAGUUUUAAACACUCUUAGCUGAGCUGUCCUUUGGUGCCUCUGGAAAUAUAGAAAUUCUAUGAUUUUUAGUAACACCUCCUAGAUUUCCAUUCCGCGGGUCUUGAGGUUGAUCAGGAACAUGGUGAGGAACUGGGCGAUUCUCUCCUCCGGAUCGGACAAGGACAAGUUGACAAGCUUCGUGGAAACCCUAACGAGAUCCCUCUAG